CGCGUAGGCGGUUUGGUAAGUCGGAUGUGAAAGCCCAGGGCUUAACCUUGGAAUUGCAUUCGAUACUGCUUAACUAGAGUAUGGUAGAGGGAAGUGGAAUUUCCGGUGUAGCGGUGAAAUGCGUAGAUAUCGGAAGGAACACCAGUGGCGAAGGCGACUUCCUGGGCCAAUACUGACGCUGAGGUGCGAAAGCGUGGGGAGCAAACA
This 207-nucleotide ribosomal RNA is filed under the name uncultured bacterium. RNAcentral describes it as "partial 16S ribosomal RNA". It matches the Rfam family "Bacterial small subunit ribosomal RNA", at positions 568 to 774 of the family's 1533-position model. The record is from RNAcentral.